This is a long non-coding RNA of Paramacrobiotus metropolitanus, 1272 nucleotides long. RefSeq lists it as uncharacterized. The record is from RefSeq and is a predicted model, not a curated record. The transcript has 4 exons. Lineage: Eukaryota; Metazoa; Tardigrada; Eutardigrada; Parachela; Macrobiotidae.
CAGUUAAUAUUAUUAUUAACUCGAUGAUAUACAAGCAGUUCGACAAGAUACGAAUGGAUCCUGACGUAGUAUGCAUGCGUGUCAGCGGCAAUACCGAAAAUUGCCGCUAGGAAAAAGUGUUCAAGGCCGAACCUUUCUGAUGCAAAGCUGAAGCACUUUUUCACGAUAGACGCUCAGGGCAGCACAAAGCGCCAGAAUGCCGCAACCUCAAAGGGCGUAGAUUGCGUACAUUUACACUUUAUCAUUUUUAAUCUGGCAGUUUUGCUUAGUGGUUUAAGAGCGCAACUUAACACCAGCAUUCUUAAUUAGACGGAAACCCCAGAUCUUGAGCCAACAUCAGAAUUAAAGGAGGCUCCAUACACAAACAAAUAAAGGCAGCCAAGGACGGAUAUUAGUAGACGCCAGCGUUAUCUCCGUUGCGUUUCUUGUGUUGCACAGAUCCGUGUCGCAGUCGCAAUAGCUGCUAUCCACCGUAUUUCCGCCACUGUAGGUAGGGUUAUAGGAAACUUCAAUACAGUUUCCAGGACAGGUUUGCUUAUUCCAAUACGAAACAUUUAUUUGCUGACCCCGGCUGCCGCAAGGGUACUUUUCACUGCCUUCGUAACGGCCUUCCGUACAAAAAUAACAAGACAACGCGAAAGUAGAUUUCGGAAUUCUGGUAACAACGUAUCCAAAGAGAGCCAACACACGGAAAAAGCUUUCUAUUUUGGAGGCUAUUUACCGUGAACGAUAUUCUCCAGAACCCGACAUCUGGUAAUUUUGGUAUACGCUGUACCUACAUUGUUCAGCCCACUUGCGCAGUUAAGGCUACUACUACAUCAGAGGAAACCACCCGGAGCCUAAUCAAAGGGGAUCUUCCGGAAAUUACACCGUGCUUCAAAAGAAGGGGUGCCAAGGUGGAGCGCUACUUGAAGAGAAGAAUAGUACAGGCGCUGCAUUUGCGAUACCGAUGUUUGUGACACCAGAAACUCCUCGCAAAUCAGCAAUGGCGACGGAUAAGUUAUCUUGCCUACCAGUGUUUUAUUCGACCUGGUUAUUUAUUUUAAAUAUCCAGGUCGAAUACAACACUGACAGCCAAGAAAACCUAUUAUUGCUGACGCCAUCCCUAAAAUAAUUAUUUCCGCUUGCUAAACGUUUUUAUUUAAACGUGUGAACAGUUUUGGUGGCUAAAUAUUGAGCAAUGCGCUAAGGAAUGGCCUGAUUUAGUUUAAGGCCUGAUGGCCUGCACACAACAGUUUAAGGAUUGCUGCGUACUCAGGAUGUCAGUGUGGA